CCAGACUCCUACGGGAGGCAGCAGUGAGGAAUAUUGGUCAAUGGGCUUACGCCUGAACCAGCCAAGUCGCGUGAGGGAAGACUGCCCUAUGGGUUGUAAACCUCUUUUGUCAGGGAGCAACGCCGGCUACGUGUAGCCGGACUGAGAGUACCUGAAGAAAAAGCAUCGGCUAACUCCGUGCCAGCAGCCGCGGUAAUACGUAGGUGGCAAGCGUUAUCCGGAUUUAUUGGGUGUAAAGGGCGUGUAGGCGGGAAUGCAAGUCAGAUGUGAAAUUCCAGGGCUCAACCCUGGAACUGCGUUUGAAACUGUUCUUCUUGAGUGAUGGAGAGGCAGGCGGAAUUCCGUGUGUAGCGGUGAAAUGCGUAGAUAUACGGAGGAACACCAGUGGCGAAGGCGGCCUGCUGGACAUUAACUGACGCUGAGGCGCGAAAGCGUGGGGAGCAAACAGGAUUAGAUACCCCAGUA
RNAcentral lists this ribosomal RNA (465 nucleotides) under uncultured bacterium. RNAcentral's name for it is "bacterial SSU rRNA". It matches the Rfam family "Bacterial small subunit ribosomal RNA", at positions 331 to 792 of the family's 1533-position model. The record is from RNAcentral.